This 1365-nucleotide ribosomal RNA is filed under the name uncultured bacterium. Its description in RNAcentral is "bacterial SSU rRNA". It matches the Rfam family "Bacterial small subunit ribosomal RNA", at positions 28 to 1381 of the family's 1533-position model. The record is from RNAcentral.
GAUUAACGCUGGCGGCGUGCCUAACACAUGCAAGUCGAGCGGCAGCGAGUUUUACACUGAAUUCUGGAAGCUUCUAGUUGAAAGAGAAGAUUUAUUCAAGAAUUUUGUGUAAAAUGUCGGCGAGCGGCGGACGGCUGAGUAACGCGUGGGAACGUACCCCAAAGUGAGGGAUAACGCAUCGAAAGGUGUGCUAAUACCGCAUAUGGUCUUCGGAUUAAAGCCUUCGGGCGCUUUGGGAACGGCCUGCGUAAGAUUAGAUAGUUGGUGGGGUAAUGGCCUACCAAGUCGACGAUCUUUAACUGGUUUGAGAGGAUGAUCAGUCAGACUGGAACUGAGACACGGUCCAGACUCCUACGGGAGGCAGCAGUGAGGAAUCUUCCACAAUGGGCGAAAGCCUGAUGGAGCAACGCCGCGUGCAGGAUGAAGGCCUUCGGGUUGUAAACUGCUUUUAUAAGUGAGGAUUAUGACAGUAACUUAUGAAUAAGGAUCGGCUAACUACGUGCCAGCAGCCGCGGCCAUACGUAGGAUCCGAGCGUUAUCCGGAGUGACUGGGCGUAAAGAGUUGCGUAGGUGGUUUAAUAAGCGAAUAGUGAAAUCUGGUGGCUCAACCAUUCAGACUAUUAUUCGAACUGUUAAACUCGAGAGCAGAAGAGGUAGCUGGAAUUUCUAGUGUAGGAGUGAAAUCCGUAGAUAUUAGAAGGAACACCGAUGGCGUAGGCAGGCUACUGGGCUGUUUCUGACACUGAGGCACGAAAGCGUGGGGAGCGAACCGGAUUAGAUACCCGGGUAGUCCACGCCGUAAACGAUGGAUACUAGCUGUUUGGGGUAUCGACCCCCUGAGUAGCGAAGCUAACGCGUUAAGUAUCCCGCCUGUGGAGUACGAUCGCAAGAUUAAAACAUAAAGGAAUUGACGGGGACCCGCACAAGCGGUGGAUCAUGUUCUUUAAUUCGAUGAUAACCGAUAAACCUUACCAGGUCUUGACAUCCUUGGAAUCUUUCAGAAAUGAGAGAGUGCUUUUUAAGAGCCAAGUGACAGGUGAUGCAUGGCCGUCGUCAGCUCGUGUCGUGAGAUGUUUGGUUAAGUCCAUCAACGAGCGCAACCCUUGUCAGUAGUUGUAUUUUUCUACUGAGACUGCCCCGGUAACGGGGAGGAAGGAGGGGAUGACGUCAGGUCAGUAUUUCCCUUACGUCCUGGGCUAGAAACGUGAUACAAUGGCUAGUACAAUGCGCAGCGAAGCCGCGAGGUGAAGCAAAUCGCAUCAAAGCUAGUCCCAGUUCGGGUUGUAGGCUGAAACUCGCCUGCAUGAAGUCGGAAUCGCUAGUAAUCGCAGAUCAGCAUGCUGCGGUGAAUACGUUCCCGGGUCU